UACGGGGGGGGUAAGCGUUGUUCGGAAUUACUGGGCGUAAAGGGCUCGUAGGCGGCCAACUAAGUCAGACGUGAAAUCCCUCAGCUUAACUGGGGAACUGCGUCUGAUACUGGAUGGCUUGGAUUUGGGAGAGGAAUGCGGAAUUCCUGGUGUAGCGGUGAAAUGCGCAGAUAUCAGGAGGAACACCGGUGGCGAAGGCGGGUCUCUGGGCAAUAACUGACGCUGAGGAGCGAAAGCGUGGGGAGCGAACAGG
This 253-nucleotide ribosomal RNA is filed under the name uncultured bacterium. RNAcentral's name for it is "partial 16S ribosomal RNA". It matches the Rfam family "Bacterial small subunit ribosomal RNA", at positions 524 to 776 of the family's 1533-position model. The record is from RNAcentral.